This 2289-nucleotide ribosomal RNA is filed under the name halophilic archaeon J07HB67. RNAcentral's name for it is "23S ribosomal RNA". It matches the Rfam family "Archaeal large subunit ribosomal RNA", at positions 12 to 2369 of the family's 2987-position model. Lineage: Archaea; Methanobacteriati; Methanobacteriota; Halobacteria; Halobacteriales. The record is from RNAcentral.
ACUGUGCCAGCUGGUGGAUGGCUCGGCUCGGAUGCCGACGAAGGACGUGCCAAGCUGCGAUAAGCUCCAGGGAGCCGCAUGGAGGCGAAGAACUGGAGAUGUCCGAAUAGGAAUCCUCACAGCAAUUGCUUUGCGCAAUGGGGAACGCCCCGGAUUGAAACAUCUUAGUAGGGGCAGGAAGAGAAAGCGAAUGCGAUGUCGUUACUAACGGCGAGUGAACGCGACACAGCCCAAACUGAAGCUCUCACGAGCAAUGUGGUGUUCGGGCUGGUACCAAGUGACCGUUGACUACGAGAAGUCUCCUGGAACGGAGCGCGAAACAGGGCGACAGCCCCGUAUCGCCGUCGACAGUCGCGGACCAGUACCCAGAGUAUCGGGGGUUGGAUCUCCCUCGUGAACGUCCCAGGCAUCGACUGGGAAGGCUAAACACUCUCCGAGACCGAUAGCGAACAAGUAGUGCGAACGAACGCUGAAAAGCACCCCGAGAAGGGAGGUGCAACAGGGCCUGAAAUCAGUUGGCGAUGGAGCGACGGGGCACAAAAGGUCCCGAGAGAAACGACACACCCGCGAAGGUGCAGUAGGGAUCUCGGGAAGCCGGUGUUCCGUCGUACGUUUUGAAAAACGAACCAGGGAAUGUACUCGUCCGGCGAGCCUAACCCGAUUAUCGGGGAAGGCGCAGGGAAACCGAUACGGCCGCAGCAUUGCGAGGGCCACCGUGUUCAAGCGCGGGGAGUCGAGCGGGUACGACCCGAAACCAGGUGAUCUAUGCGCGGACAGGGUGAAGCGCACCGAAAGGUGCGUGGAGGCCCGUUAGGGUUGGUGUCCUACAAUACCCUCCCGUGAUCUGCGUAUAGGGGUGAAAGGCCCAUCGAACCUGGAAACAGCUGGUUCCGACCAAAACAUGUCGAAGCAUGACCUCCACCGAGGUAGUCCGUGCGGUAGAGCUACCGAUUGGAAGCGCCUCCUUCGAGAGAAGUAGGCCUUCCUGUCGAACUCCGAACGUACGGACGCUGUGGACGUGGGGAGUCCGGUGUCCUGGGGUAAGCCUGGGCACCAUGAGGGGAACAACCCAGAGCUGGGCUAAGGACCCAAAAUGUGGACUAAGUGCGAUUGGAAGGUUGUCUCGAGCCAUAGACAGCCGGGAGGUGAGCUUAGAAGCAGCUACCCUCUAAGAAAAGCGUAACAGCUUACCGGCCGAGGUUUGAGGCGCCCAAAAUGAUCGGGGCUCAAGUCCACUUCCGAGACCCAGCGGCGCGGGUGACACCGCGAUUCCGUAGGUCGGCGUUCUGUUCGGGUGGAAGCUCGGGUGAGAACUCGCGUGGACCGUACAGAAACGAAAAUCCUGGUCACAGUAGCAGCGAAACUCGGGUGCGAACCCCGAGGGUCUGAAGAGCAAGGGUUCCUCGGCACUGUUAAUCAGCCGAGGGUUAGUCGGUCCUAAGUCACACCGUAACUCGAACGUGACAACUGGGAAACUGGUUAAUAUUCCAGUACCAUCACGCAGUGAAACCCAACGCUUUGGGGUCGGUCAAGCCGGGCACUCGCCCGGUCGAAUCGUCAAAAUCCGUGGAAGCCGUAACGGCACGAAGCGGACGAACGGCGAGAUAGCGCAAGUUGGCUCAACCUAGAGCCCGUGAAACGGGAAGCGUGGUGUCCGUACCGAGAUCCGACACAGGUGCUCUGGCAGCGCAAGCCAAGACCUUCGGGACCAAUCGGCGUUAGGGAAUUCGGCAACUUAGUCCCGUACGUUCGCAAUAAGGGAUGCCUGCCCCCCACGGGGCAGGUCGCAGUGACUCGGACGCUCCGACUGUCUAGUAACAACACAGGUGACCGCAAAUCCGCAAGGACUCGUACGGUCACUGAAUCCUGCCCAGUGCGGGUAUCUGAACACCUCGUACAAGAGGACGAAGGACCCGUUAACGGCGGGGGUAACUAUGACCCUCUUAAGGUAGCGUAGUACCUUGCCGCUUCAGUAGCGGCUUGCAUGAAUGGAUCAACGAGAGCGUCGCUGUCCCAACGCUGAGCCCGGUGAACUGUACGUUCCAGUGCGGAGUCUGGAGACCCCCAAGGGGAAGCGAAGACCCUAUAGAGCUUUACUGCAGGCUGUCGCUGAGACAUGGUCGCUGAUGUGCAGAGUAGGUAGGAGUCGUUACCGAGGCCCGUGCGCCAGCACGGCGCCCAGACACACAUGAAACACUACCCGUCAGUGACUGUGACUCUCACUCCGGGAGGAGAACACCGGUAGCCGGGCAGUUUGACUGGGGCGGUACGCGCUUGAAAAGGAUAUCG